CACAUAAAGUGUGUGUAGCAGAUCGAUCUUCAGGGGCGAAUAAAGGGUAUAACCCUAGUUCAACCAUUUCCUUCAAAUUGAAAGGCUAAUUGAAGCCCGAAUUCAGAAUUGAACAUAUAAUAACGAUCACCUAAUCAUGGGAAUCAUGAGUUUGACGCUUGACAAGCUAGGUGGAGGCUUGGGAAAGAAGCGGGUCAAACGGAUCGAGUACGCGGAUAAAGAGCAAAAAUCGGAUGCAAGGUGAUUGUGGCAAGCAUCCGAACGACGACCAAGCAAUGAAAUGAACCGAACACAUGUCGAAUGAAGCUUCCGCGUUGAUUUUACUUUGUUUUUGUUUUAAGUGAACCAUGUAACCACUUGAAACUAUAUUUUGAAUACUUUAAACAUGUUUGAUAGUUAAUUGAAAAAAGUUUUUGUAAAGUCGCAUUUUUCG
Helianthus annuus (common sunflower) is the source of this 433-nucleotide long non-coding RNA. RefSeq lists it as uncharacterized. The transcript is spliced from 3 exons. The record is from RefSeq and is a predicted model, not a curated record. NCBI's taxonomy places the organism in Eukaryota, Viridiplantae, Streptophyta, Magnoliopsida, Asterales, Asteraceae.